AGGACGACUCACCUUGAAGCACGAGAUUGCCAGGUGGAGGGACUUCCUGAACUUUAGCCCACUUUUGUUGUUGUUAGUUUCUCUUACAGAUAGCUCUCUAGCUCUUCCAAGUCACUCAAACUGCAGCUGAAAUUGUAGAUGGAGGUUUUGGCGGGAGGGGGAAAGAUGUAGCCUUUUUUUUUUUAAGGUAACAAAUGUGGUUAUAGGGAUUCCUUUUUUUCAGGUUGUUAGCAGACCAGCUGGGCUCUGGGAAUUACUGCGCCCCCCCCCCCCGGCAUAAUAACCAAUGUUGCUUUCUCCCUGCAUUGGGAUGGCUCACUAGUUAACUUGUGUGGGUGUUUUUCAGGUGUUGGGGCAACGCUAAAGUGUUGCUCAUGUGUGAACCAGUCAGCUCCUGCCGUCUGAGGUGUAUUGAGGCAAUAUUUGGGGGGUAUUGGAGGGGACCUCGAGAGGAUCUUCAGCCUCCCCAAACUAGGCGAUGUUCAUCCAGUAUUUCUAACCAGACUGAGAAUCUACAAAGAAACCUACUUACUGCUUCAGUUCCAUGACUUCUUCCUUCUUCUAGAAAGGACACAGCAUGCAGG
RNAcentral lists this long non-coding RNA (584 nucleotides) under Cricetulus griseus (Chinese hamster). RNAcentral's name for it is "lncRNA (ENSCGRG00000026456.1)". The record is from RNAcentral. Lineage: Eukaryota; Metazoa; Chordata; Mammalia; Rodentia; Cricetidae.